UGUUCGAGCGUCAUUACAAUCCUCAAGCACUGCUUGGCAUUGGGUAUCACCUAUCUAGGUGUGCUUUAAAAUUAGUGGUGGUGCCAUCUGACUUCAAGCGUAGUAGUUUUCUCACUUUGGAGACUAGAUGAGUGCCUACCAACAGCCUUAAACUUUCAAAAAUUGACCUCGGAUCAGGUAGGGAUACCCGCUGAACUUAA
RNAcentral lists this unclassified non-coding RNA (200 nucleotides) under soil metagenome. RNAcentral describes it as "partial contains internal transcribed spacer 2 and large subunit ribosomal RNA". The record is from RNAcentral.